CAUGUAGGCGGAUUGAUAAGUUUGAAGUGAAAUCCUAUAGCUUAACUAUAGAACUGCUUUGAAAACUGUUAAUCUAGAAUGUGGGAGAGGUAGAUGGAAUUUCUGGUGUAGGGGUAAAAUCCGUAGAGAUCAGAAGGAGUACCGAUUGCGAAGGCGAUCUACUGGAACAUUAUUGACGCUGAGAUGUGAAGCGUGGGAGCAAACA
RNAcentral lists this ribosomal RNA (205 nucleotides) under uncultured bacterium. Its description in RNAcentral is "partial 16S ribosomal RNA". It matches the Rfam family "Bacterial small subunit ribosomal RNA", at positions 568 to 774 of the family's 1533-position model. The record is from RNAcentral.